This 253-nucleotide ribosomal RNA is filed under the name uncultured bacterium. RNAcentral's name for it is "partial 16S ribosomal RNA". It matches the Rfam family "Bacterial small subunit ribosomal RNA", at positions 524 to 776 of the family's 1533-position model. The record is from RNAcentral.
UACGGAGGGGGCGAGCGUUAUUCGGAAUUAUUGGGCGUAAAGGGCGCGUAGGCGGCUUUCUAAGUCAAAGGUGAAAUCCCUCGGCUCAACUGAGGAACUGCCUUUGAAACUGGAAAGCUUGAGGCCGGGAGAGGGUAGCGGAAUUCCCAGUGUAGCGGUGAAAUGCGUAGAUAUCUGGAGGAACACCGGUGGCGAAGGCGGCAUCCUGGACCGGUAUUGACGCUGAGGAGCGAAAGCCAGGGGAGCAAACGGG